This 437-nucleotide ribosomal RNA is filed under the name uncultured bacterium. RNAcentral describes it as "bacterial SSU rRNA". It matches the Rfam family "Bacterial small subunit ribosomal RNA", at positions 355 to 787 of the family's 1533-position model. The record is from RNAcentral.
UGAGGAAUAUUGGUCAAUGGACGAGAGUCUGAACCAGCCAAGUCGCGUGAGGGAUGAAGGUUCUAUGGAUCGUAAACCUCUUUUAUAAGGGAAUAAAGUGACCCACGUGUGGGUUUUUGUAUGUACCUUAUGAAUAAGGAUCGGCUAACUCCGUGCCAGCAGCCGCGGUAAUACGGAGGAUCCGAGCGUUAUCCGGAUUUAUUGGGUUUAAAGGGUGCGUAGGCGGCCUUUUAAGUCAGCGGUGAAAGUCUGUGGCUCAACCAUAGAAUUGCCGUUGAAACUGGGAGGCUUGAGUAUGUUUGAGGCAGGCGGAAUGCGUGGUGUAGCGGUGAAAUGCUUAGAUAUCACGCAGAACCCCCGAUUGCGAAGGGCAGCCUGCCAAGCCAUGACUGACGCCGAUGCACGAAAAGCGUGGGGAUCAAACAGAUUAGAUACCC